CACGUAGGGCGCAAGCGUUGUCCGGAAUUAUUGGGCGUAAAGAGCUCGUAGGCGGUUUGUCGCGUCUGCUGUGAAAACUUCAGGCUCAACCUGGGGCUUGCAGUGGGUACGGGCAGACUAGAGUGCGGUAGGGGUGACUGGAAUUCCUGGUGUAGCGGUGGAAUGCGUAGAUAUCAGGAGGAACACCGAUGGCGAAGGCAGGUCACUGGGCCGCAACUGACGCUGAGGAGCGAAAGCAUGGGGAGCGAACAGG
Molecule: ribosomal RNA, 253 nt
Filed under: uncultured bacterium
Lineage: Bacteria
Description: partial 16S ribosomal RNA
Rfam family: Bacterial small subunit ribosomal RNA
Source: RNAcentral